RNAcentral lists this ribosomal RNA (847 nucleotides) under Camptophora schimae. RNAcentral describes it as "eukaryotic LSU rRNA". It matches the Rfam family "Eukaryotic large subunit ribosomal RNA", at positions 62 to 926 of the family's 3401-position model. Lineage: Eukaryota; Fungi; Ascomycota; Eurotiomycetes; Chaetothyriales; Chaetothyriaceae. The record is from RNAcentral.
AAACCAACAGGGAUUGCCCUAGUAACGGCGAGUGAAGCGGCAAAAGCUCAAAUUUGAAAUCUGGCUCUUUCAGAGUCCGAGUUGUAAUUUGUAGAGGAUAUUUCGGACACCGCCCCAGGUUAAAUUUCUUGGAACAGAAUGUCAUAGAGGGUGAGAACCCCGUCUUGACCUGGGCGUAGGAUCCAUGUGAAAUUCCUUCGACGAGUCGAGUUGUUUGGGAAUGCAGCUCUAAAUGGGUGGUAAAUUUCAUCUAAAGCUAAAUAUUGGCCAGAGACCGAUAGCGCACAAGUAGAGUGAUCGAAAGAUGAAAAGCACUUUGAAAAGAGAGUUAAACAGUAUGUGAAAUUGUUGAAAGGGAAGCGCUGGCAACCAGACUUGAGCGCGGCGGUUCCCCCUUGCUUCUGCUUGGGUUACUCCGUCGUGUCCAGGCCAACAUCGGUUCUAGGGGUCGGUUAAAGGCCCUGGGAAUGUAUCUACCCUCCGGGGUCGACUUAUAGCCCAGGGUGUCAUGCGGCCACCCGGGACCGAGGAACGCGCUUCGGCACGGAUGUUGGCGUAAUGGUUGUCAGCGGCCCGUCUUGAAACACGGACCAAGGAGUCUAACAUCUAUGCGAGUGUUUAGGGUGUCAAACCCUUACGCGGAAUGAAAGUGAACGGAGGUAAGAAGCUUCGGCUGCAUUAUCGACCGAUCCUGAAGUUUACGGAUGGAUUUGAGUAAGAGCAUAGCUGUUGGGACCCGAAAGAUGGUGAACUAUGCGUGAAUAGGGUGAAGCCAGAGGAAACUCUGGUGGAGGCUCGCAGCGGUUCUGACGUGCAAAUCGAUCGUCAAAUUUGCGUAUAGGGGCGA